Molecule: long non-coding RNA, 1108 nt
Organism: Cimex lectularius (bed bug)
Lineage: Eukaryota; Metazoa; Arthropoda; Insecta; Hemiptera; Cimicidae
Exons: 4
Source: RefSeq, a predicted model, not a curated record
GGGAAAAAACAGCAUCGAACAGAGAAAGAAGAGAGUUUGUUUCGUUAUGUUAUAUGUUGGACCGUCUGAGUCGGUGGUGACUGGAGGUGGAUGAGUCGGAGUGGGAUGACCUUCGGUCGUCGUCGGCUCCGCUCGGUCUCCCCUUGUCGCCCGCGAAGACGUUCAAAAAUCGAAUGAAAUCACAACCGUCAUGUUCGGGCUGAGGACAAACGAUCAAGACAAUUUCUGAAGAACUUCUAAAUCGGUCUGAGGAACGAACUUGUACUUUGGUUAUUGGCCUGACUUCUCUCUGAUGAUAGCACAGCGUAAAACAACGAGGAUUGGCGGACCAGGAUGAUCAGAAACGAAUAAGAAGUUCACCACCCCAUAAACCUCAAGAAGAAAUCUCGUCUCCUCAAUUUGAACUGCAAGCUAGGUUGGUCUGUAAGACGAGUUUCGCCAUCUUCAGUGGUACGCAGGGUUAUAAGCAGGGUGUUGCACACAUCAACAUAAGAGAUGGUGAAAAUCUGAAGCACGUCUGACAGAAAACCACAUAUGGACUAAAAGGAUGCUUCCAAAAUCCAAAUAAUGUUGGACAUGAUGUCAUCUGUCAAAAUCAAAGAAUUGGGUUUGUUUCGGCGCUUCGCCCUGUUUAUAACCCUGGCCUGCUGAAGAUGAUGAAACGCCGAACCGACCUGGGAGACCAAGAAAAGCGAGCAUAGGCUGACCCGGAUGACCAGAAAGGAUGAGAAAUACUAGUUCAUAGACCUUAACAAGAAAGUUCAUAAUUGAUAAAUGUGUUUAAACAAGUACUCGUUUAGGUAAAUUGACACAAACCUUCUGAAGAUGCUGAAAUGCCUAACCACGCCUGGCACACCAAAACAGCGAAAAUAGGCGGACCACGAUGACCGGAAAGGACUAAAACGCAAUGAAUGAGUUGUAAAUUUAUUAGAACAAAAACAUUAUUUGUCUCUUUAUUAUGUGCCAGGUAUGUUUUUCGUUCUUUCCCCUCCUAGUUCUAUCGUGCUAUUGAAUUGUCAUGAAAAUUUUAUUGUUAUUUAUUGUCUAUGUAAGUUUGUUCUUGUUUGUUGUGAUUGUUAUAUGAGUCGAUUGUUUGGUUAGAAUCAAA